Long non-coding RNA from Bufo bufo (common toad), 255 nucleotides. RefSeq lists it as uncharacterized. The record is from RefSeq and is a predicted model, not a curated record. Lineage: Eukaryota; Metazoa; Chordata; Amphibia; Anura; Bufonidae. The transcript is spliced from 3 exons.
GCAGUGGAGGGCGCACUGCACAUGUGCAGCCGCCCUUCAUUCAUUUUCUAUGGGGCCGCCGAAAAUAGUCAAGCACUGGCUCGGCUAUUUCCGUCCGGCCCAUAGAAGUGAAUAAGAGCAGUGGCCGGUCAUGCACAGUGCACUUCCAUUCACUUCUACGGGGAGAUCGCUUGGUGGUGGCCGGACCGGAGUCCUUCAGCCACCACUUUGCGGGGCUCCAUUCCCAAUAUAGGUGUCGGACCCAGUCCUGUGGGA